GCCGCCGAUCCCGUUGAGGAGCCGCCGCCGAUGACGGGAGACGCCGCACGCUGACCUACCCCCUCCCCAAUCCCUAGCCUCGCACCUCUUCCCGUCUGGCGCCUCCUACCUCGGCUGGGCGGUGGCCUCGAGUGCCUCUUCUUUCCCAAUGCGGCCUCAACCAACGACGCUGCACCCCGGUGAUGACUCCGCCCCACGAUUCCCAUCGGUCGGCGCCUUGCCAGCAGUGACCUCCCCCUCCAUGUAUCCUGUGAUCCGGCCGUGCGCCACCGCCUCUCCAGGCGCUUAGAUCCAGGCUUCCAGAAGGGGAUAGGAGUGGAGGCGGCAGCGGAGGGGACAGGGAUGUGGACCGGAGAAACUACAUGGUGGAGACACAACAAAGCGUUCACCAUCGCAUGCAGCUGCAGGUAACUACUUCCCUGAGUCUCCUUCGUAGGUGUGGUCACUAUAUUUCCUACUUGUGCAGAUCCUAACUGGUUGUAACUCCGUUCAUUCUCUUCCUAACAGUAGUUCGUCAGCCACAUUGGACUAAUCUAAUGCAUUCGAAUUGCCUUGGUGUAUGAAAAUAACGAUAUAGGCUUGAUGUGUACAAGCGCAUAGCUCCUUAUCUAGCCUAAUCUGAAUGUAGCUUAUAUUCUUAAUCUUUUUAUGCACACUAUUUUAGCCAGCGGCAGGUGUUGGGCACUUUGAGGUAUGCAAACCUUCUCAGAGCAAGGGGAGCAAGAGUACCGGUACUGCAUUUCUUAUCUUCAUCACUCAAAAUUCCCAGAACUAAUCGUGAGCUCUUGCUUUGAUACAGAACUAAUCUUGAAGAUGAUAGCCCUGUUUCUUCCCUGUUUUAGAUCAACCGUUCUUCUUUCUUCCUUGGAGCUCCACUGUUUUGGAUGAACUGGACUAACCCUAGUUAAUUGAUUAAUUUCUCAUGAAAAUAGAAUUUAGAUGAGAGUGAAACUGAACUGGAGGGUGCUUAAUUCGCCAUUUGUUUCUGGAUGGAGGCUACAUUAUUUUCUUUAGGGAGAACCCCUUUUCUGUACUAUACUCUGUACUUCAUAAGGACCUAAAUCCCUCUCAAUAGUCUUGCAAGGUGAACUCAAUUUGUUUUUUUUUGUGCUUAAUUGUGUAGAAGGGAUGAAGAUCAUCCACGAGGUGUCUCAAGGUGAACCCCGUGGUACCCGACCAAGUGGCUGGAGGGAAUGGUGUAUGCUCACAAGGUACGUGAUUUAGCUGUGCUUCUGACUAUAUGUGUGCUCAUGGCCUCAUGGGUUCUGAUAUAGCUGCGCUGGCUAUAUUUCAGUUUGUACAGACCAAUUUGUUUCACUCAGACAAGAAUCCCACGAACCUUAAUGUGGCCUUUAAGUUUCAGGUCCUUGGGGUUGGAUGCGGCAACUCGCGGCUCGAAGACAAUCUUUUGUGGUGGGGCGUCGCCGCCGCCGGCGGCACCUGCAUAGACCGUAUCGCUGGGAACGAAGAGAUGCUCCCCUGAUUUGGAGCUGUAGAAAGGAAGUGGUUGCAGACACAAAGUGGGGACACACAACUCCCAGUCAUAAUAUUCUUUAUCUUGGCUCGUUGUUUGGGGAUGGACGCAUCAAUCUGAUGGCGCUCUCCUCCAUGCCAAACGGAUCCUUGAUUCGGAGGCGCGCGGCGCCGACGAUGACAACCUUUCUAUCGACGCAAGGGCAGCAGGAGCUCAUGACACUGUUGAUGCCACCGCCAUGCAUGGGGUUGAUGCAAGGUGGGACAAUGUGAUCACUAAUGGGGAGAACAUAAAACUUCAAUUGAGGGCACUGUGAUUCUCUAGCUACAUGUAUCAUGGUCACCAACCACACAUGUCCAAAAGAGAUCCUUAUUUCACCUUUGUUUAUAGGUAUUCAACGUGAGGAAUUUUAUACUUUUGGAGUGGAGCUAUCAAAUAUAUAUUAUGAGUUUCUAAAACAUCUAUUAUAAGGAGUUGACCAGAGCUUCCUCUGCCCCGGCAGAUUCUGAGAAAACCAACCAGCAGAGAACAUGAACAAAUAUAGUGACGAGAAAGGGUGGAGCUGAGUACACCACACAUGGAUAUGAUGGUCUCCCCUAUAUUCUUUUUGGCAAUCCACUUAAUCACUGACUCAACUUUGUAUGGGUGAGCUAACGAGCCCGUGUUAUGUCUUCCCUCUUUCUUUGUAAGUGGAUGAUUUCAGAUUGCUCGUCAUUAUUCAACAACUAUACUUGUGAUAGAAAAAUGUGCUAAACUAUAGUACUCUCUCCGUCUCAUGAUAAGUUUCGCUAUACUUGUGAAAGAUUAAUGUAUAUUCUUCUAAAGUUAUAAUACAUUCAUGGUCUGUGUAUAUCAUUUGUAUGUUGCAAACCUGAGUCGGGCAGGCAGCAACUGAUUUCUUCAUUUGCUAUCUUUAUAUUCUUCAAAGCAAUAAAAGUGUAUGCGCAUUUGGUGAGAUUAGGGGAAUGUACUGACAAGUGACAAGCAUAUUUCCUUGUGUGUCGUCCUCGAUGCUGCUUCCUUAGUUCACACAGUACAUUUCUUAAUCACUUUUGUCGCAGAUGUUUGACACAUCCAACUACCAUGUUGAUUUUCUGAUCAUUCUUUGGUCUGGACUAUAUAUGAUAUAUGUAUUAUAUCAUCAGCACAAUGUGAUUCUUCUUCUUCUUGCAGGGCGCUUCCGAUGCACAGAUGGUGGCAGCAGGGGCGGAGCCAGGAUUUAGACAUAGGGGGGGCCAGACCGGUGCUAAAGUCUGUUUUUUUUGCCUCACAAACUACCUUAUUAUGUAACUUUGUUGUUGUACUAAAAAGAAGAUCAAUGCUGUCAGAAUACAUACAUAGAGAAUCAAACCCAGCCCCUACUCGUCCCCUCUACCGCUAGGUCGAGGUAGACUGCUUGGCCGUGGUUGGAAGGUGCGUGAUUUCAAACGAUUGCCUGUGCCCGAGCGCGACGCAUCACAAAUUACACAACCAAAAGUUGAAAUCUGAUGUAUAACGAAUUAAUGAUAGAAGAUGGGAAUUGAGAUAGAUUAGUAGACAGUGUGCUGGAUUAACCUUGGCUCGAUCAUUGGCUGCAGGACGAAUAAUUGGCGAGUGAAUCAGCUUGCGUUUACGAAUUAGAUCAUGAGAAUGGAGAGCAGAGGCGGGCGGCAGCGAGGGCGCAGGACGGCAACAGCGCAUCGCUAAUCAUAGGGAAUAAUGCCCAGCGCCCAGGAGACUUUUAACGGAGGCCAAUCAACAAAUAUGGCCUUGUCUUACUUUUAACGAAUUAAUAAUUUGUAAUACUUCCUACAAUUAUGAAGUUAUAUGAUUAAUAAUCUAUAUAAUGACUUAAGCAGGGGCUGUUGAAUGCAAUUCAAGCUGUGUUCCCACACUCACCUCAAAGAUAUUGUCUUAGACAUAUCUAUGCAAAUUUCCAGUCAGCUGGCUUCAGGAGUGAGGAGUUGAAGAAGCAUAUGGACAAUGCUGCAUAUUCAUACACCAAGAAUGGUUUUGAGGUUGCAAUGAAUGAACUGAAAAAGGAGGAUGAAGAUGCUUGGAAGUGGCUUUGUGAAAUCCCUAAAGAGACUUGGGCAAGGCAUGCUAUGGAUCACACAUGCAA
Long non-coding RNA from Aegilops tauschii subsp. strangulata, 3575 nucleotides. RefSeq lists it as uncharacterized. NCBI's taxonomy places the organism in Eukaryota, Viridiplantae, Streptophyta, Magnoliopsida, Poales, Poaceae. The record is from RefSeq and is a predicted model, not a curated record.